UACGGAGGGUGCGAGCGUUGUCCGGAAUCAUUGGGCGUAAAGGGCGCGUAGGUGGCCCGGUCAGUUCGUGGUGAAGCGCGGGGACCUCAACCCUGCGUCGGCCAUGAAUACUGCCGCGGCUGGAGCACUGUAGAGGCAGGCGGAAUUCCGGGUGUAGCGGUGGAAUGCGUAGAGAGUCCGGAAGAACACCGGUGGCGAAGGCGGCC
This 206-nucleotide ribosomal RNA is filed under the name uncultured bacterium. Its description in RNAcentral is "partial 16S ribosomal RNA". It matches the Rfam family "Bacterial small subunit ribosomal RNA", at positions 524 to 726 of the family's 1533-position model. The record is from RNAcentral.